Molecule: transfer RNA, 79 nt
Filed under: Armillaria solidipes
Lineage: Eukaryota; Fungi; Basidiomycota; Agaricomycetes; Agaricales; Physalacriaceae
Description: tRNA-Thr
Source: RNAcentral
GUCGAUAUGGUGCAAAGGGUAACACUGCCGCCUCGUAGUAUGCCGCGGCAGCUCAGGGUUCAAUUCCCUGCGUCUGACU